GACGAACGCUGGCGGCGCGCUUAACACAUGCAAGUCGAACGGAAAGGCCGGCUUUCCCUUGUGGAGUGCGGGUACCCGAGUGGCGAACGGGUGAGUAACACGUGAGUGAUCUGCCCCCAACUUGGGUAUAAGCCUGGGAAACUGGGUCUAAUGCCCGAUAGGACUGCAGGGUGGUGCCGGUGGUGGAAAACGAUGUUCUAGUGGUAGGGGAUGAGCGCGCGGCCUAUCAGCUUGUCGGUGGGGUAAUGGCCUACCAAGGCGGCGACGGGAAGCCGGCCUGAGAGGGCGGACCGGCUCUUUGGGACUGAGCUACGGCCCUGACUCCUACGCGCGGCACCCGCGGGGACUGUUGGCAGCUGGGCGGAAGACUGAUGCAGCGACGCCGCGUGGAGGAUGCCGGCCUUCGGGUGGUAUGCUCCUUUCGGGCGCGAAGAAGCCACCUGGUUGGAAGGGUGGUGACGGUACUGGUAGAAGAAGCACCGGCUAACUACGUG
RNAcentral lists this ribosomal RNA (494 nucleotides) under uncultured bacterium. RNAcentral describes it as "partial 16S ribosomal RNA". It matches the Rfam family "Bacterial small subunit ribosomal RNA", at positions 28 to 507 of the family's 1533-position model. The record is from RNAcentral.